UCAAGGAGGAGAGAGUGAGCAACAGUGUCAAAGGCCGCAGAGAGACCAAGGAGACUGAAGAUUGAGAAAAGGCCAUUGAAUUUGGCAACUAAGGGGUCAUUAGUAACUUUGGAGAGAGCAGUUUUAUAACAAAGAAUCUCCUGAGACUUACCAAAAAAAGGAUGAAAACUAUUUACUCCUGAGGGUUCCCUUGGGUGCAAAUGGACUUUCAGAAAGAACCUAAAAGGCUGUGCUGUUACUUGUGAACUGUGAGACAGGAAACUGAAACCAUAAGGACACAAGCUGUGUUUUAUUCACUGUUGCCCAUUGAAGGCAAAGGAUACAGAAGAGUAAAAUUAAACUGGGAAGUGAAGAACUGGCCUAGGUGUCUAAAAAUGGGAUUUGGAUUUUGGCAUACAGUAGAGUGUUGGCAGACUCCUGACCACACCUAACAAAAGGUUGGUUUGUCAGGUGUCUUAAAGGUCUAAUGAAAAAGGCUUGACAAUAAAAGGGAUGGAAUAAAGAGAAGACUGCCUAUGUAUAUCACCCAAAUUAAACAAAUAGAUGGUUAGUUGUCCUAUGUAAUCAAAGAGGAUCAAAAUGACAUCACUAUGUUGGGGUUAAUAUACUGUGUCUGACUGUAGUGAUCAUUCCAAUACGAGCUCAGAAGGCUCAUGCCACAGGUUAGGCACAAAAAAUUCGUAUGGACAUUUGGAAUAGAGAUGUCUCUAAAUUUGCACAUCUCAUGUUUCUUUCGAACUACGGAAAUUCUGGCUUUGCUCAUAGAGCACAGAGCUUUCUUUGAUGAGGACUUUUUGUGCUGAGUGGCCCUGUGCCAGUGCCUCCCAUGUUUCACAAUUGAUUCCAAAGUUCUUCAGAGACAGCUUGAAAGUGUCCUUGUAUCACUUUUUCUGAUCCCCAUGUGAGCACUUACCUUGUGUGAGUUCUCCAUAAAAUAGUCUUUUAGGCAAACAUGCAUUUGGCAUUCCAACAACACGGCCAGCCUAUCAGAACUGUGCUCUCUGCAGUAAAAUUUGAACACUUGGAAGUUUAGCUCAAGAAAGGACCUCAGUGUUCAGUACCUUAUUUCACCAGGUGAUCUUAGCUCAAGAAAGGACCUCAGUGUUCAGUACCUUAUUUCACCAGGUGAUCUUCAGAAUCUUACUAAGACAAUUCAGAUGGAAGCAAUUUACUUUCCUGGCAUGGCGCUAGUAGACUGUCCGGAUUUCACAGCAUACAAUAAUGAGGUCAGCACAAUGGCUUUGUAGACCUUCAGUUUGGUAGGCAGUCUAAUACUUCUCUCUCACUCUUUCCUUUAGAGCCUCCCAAACACUAAGCUAGCUCUGGAAAUGUGUGUAUAAACUUCAUCAUUUAUGUGUACAUCCCUGGAAAGUUUUCUGCCAAGCCACACAGACAGCCAGACCCCAGGGCCUGCCUACAAGCCCUGCAGGAAGGACUAAGAAGCCCUCAGCAAACAUGAAAUACCAUGGAAACGCCAGAGCAACAGCUUCAGAGGUGAUCUGGGCCCCAGGAAGAGACACACAGUCACCCCCUUCCAAGUGGGGGCAGAUGAGAAGAGCCAAGGUUGCCAGGACUGAAAAGCCCAGGAGGAGAGGAGACUACUAAAUAAGAACUGGGCACAGAGCUGGGGCAGCUGGGUCUGCAGCGCCUGGCCCUUUGUAGUUCCUGGGGAAAGCACUUUCUUCAGAUACUCUUCCAAAGCCAGGUCUCCUGCUCCCCCCGCCUUCCCCUUGCAUUUGGAGCCAGAGCUGCUGCUGAGCAUCUGAAGCCCCCAAAACAAAAUUAGCCUUCCUCAGUCCCUGGCAGAGAGGGAUUGCCUAACACCAGGAAAGGAAAAGAAAGAUCCCUGCCUCUUGGCUGGCUACCUGGUCUUGGCUGAGGCUCCCUCUCCAUGCUCUGUAUCCCACCUAGAGGCUCAGGAAGCUGCUGGGUUGGGCUGGGGUGGGGUUGGCAGGUCCUCCAAAAGCAGUGCAGCCAAGAAAGGGCAAAGCCAGGAGGUAGCUAAGAGAAGAAAAAAAAAAGGGAUGGCUAUCUCAGGCCUCAAACACACACCCCUCCCUAAUUACCCAGAGAAGAAACUAAGAGAAAAUCAGGGUAUUUCAGGCAAAGACAAAAGAAUAAAAAUAAACAUUUCCAUUUAA
Long non-coding RNA from Phascolarctos cinereus (koala), 2141 nucleotides. RefSeq lists it as uncharacterized. NCBI's taxonomy places the organism in Eukaryota, Metazoa, Chordata, Mammalia, Diprotodontia, Phascolarctidae. The record is from RefSeq and is a predicted model, not a curated record.